This 887-nucleotide ribosomal RNA is filed under the name uncultured bacterium. Its description in RNAcentral is "bacterial SSU rRNA". It matches the Rfam family "Bacterial small subunit ribosomal RNA", at positions 56 to 906 of the family's 1533-position model. The record is from RNAcentral.
UGCAGUCGAGCGAGAAAGCACUUCGGUGUGAGUAGAGCGGCGGACGGGUGAGUAACGCGUAGGAAUCUACCCAGUGGUGGGGGACAACAUGGUGAAAACCAUGCUAAUACCGCAUACGCCCUACGGGGGAAAGCGGGGGAUCUUCGGACCUCGCGCCAUUGGAUGAGCCUGCGUUAGAUUAGCUAGAUGGUGGGGUAAUGGCCUACCAUGGCGACGAUCUGUAGCUGGUCUGAGAGGACGAUCAGCCACACUGGGACUGAGACACGGCCCAGACUCCUACGGGAGGCAGCAGUGGGGAAUAUUGCACAAUGGGGGAAACCCUGAUGCAGCCAUGCCGCGUGUGUGAAGAAGGCUCUAGGGUUGUAAAGCACUUUCAAUAGGGAGGAAAAGUUAGUAGUUAAUAACUGCUAGCCGUGACGUUACCUAUAGAAGAAGCACCGGCUAACUCCGUGCCAGCAGCCGCGGUAAUACGGAGGGUGCGAGCGUUAAUCGGAAUUACUGGGCGUAAAGCGCGCGUAGGCGGUUUUGUAAGCUGGGUGUGAAAGCCCCGGGCUCAACCUGGGAACUGCAUCCAGAACUGCAAGGCUAGAGUACAAGAGAGGUGAGUGGAAUUCCGAGUGUAGCGGUGAAAUGCGUAGAGAUUCGGAGGAACAUCAGUGGCGAAGGCGACUCACUGGCUUGAUACUGACGCUGAGGUGCGAAAGCGUGGGUAGCGAACAGGANUAGAUACCCUGGUAGUCCACGCCGUAAACGAUGUCUACUAGCCGUUGGUCUCACUUGAGUGUUUGGUGUUAAUCGAACAUCGAGUAUUCAAGUGAGAUCAGUGGCNCANCUAACGCGAUAAGUAGACCGCCUGGGGNGUACNGNCGCNNGGNUAAAACUCAAAU